Molecule: ribosomal RNA, 404 nt
Filed under: uncultured Microbacterium sp.
Lineage: Bacteria; Bacillati; Actinomycetota; Actinomycetes; Micrococcales; Microbacteriaceae
Description: bacterial SSU rRNA
Rfam family: Bacterial small subunit ribosomal RNA
Source: RNAcentral
GGAAUAUUGCACAAUGGGCGCAAGCCUGAUGCAGCAACGCCGCGUGAGGGAUGACGGCCUUCGGGUUGUAAACCUCUUUUAGCAGGGAAGAAGCGAAAGUGACGGUACCUGCAGAAAAAGCGCCGGCUAACUACGUGCCAGCAGCCGCGGUAAUACGUAGGGCGCAAGCGUUAUCCGGAAUUAUUGGGCGUAAAGAGCUCGUAGGCGGUUUGUCGCGUCUGCUGUGAAAUCCGGAGGCUCAACCUCCGGCCUGCAGUGGGUACGGGCAGACUAGAGUGCGGUAGGGGAGAUUGGAAUUCCUGGUGUAGCGGUGGAAUGCGCAGAUAUCAGGAGGAACACCGAUGGCGAAGGCAGAUCUCUGGGCCGUAACUGACGCUGAGGAGCGAAAGGGUGGGGAGCAAACA